UGGGGAAUUUUGGACAAUGGGCGAAAGCCUGAUCCAGCAAUGCCGCGUGUGUGAAGAAGGCCUUCGGGUUGUAAAGCACUUUUGUCCGGAAAGAAAUCCUUGGCUCUAAUACAGUCGGGGGAUGACGGUACCGGAAGAAUAAGCACCGGCUAACUACGUGCCAGCAGCCGCGGUAAUACGUAGGGUGCAAGCGUUAAUCGGAAUACUGGGCGUAAAGCGUGCGCAGGCGGUUUGCUAAGACCGAUGUGAAAUCCCCGGGCUCAACCUGGGAACUGCAUUGGUGACUGGCAGGCUAGAGUAUGGCAGAGGGGGGUAGAAUUCCACGUGUAGCAGUGAAAUGCGUAGAGAUGUGGAGGAAUACCGAUGGCGAAGGCAGCCCCCUGGGCCAAUACUGACGCUCAUGCACGAAAGCGUGGGGAGCAAACAGGAUUAGAUACCCUGGUAGUCCACGCCCUAAACGAUGUCAACUAGUUGUUGGGGAUUCAUUUCCUUAGUAACGUAGCUAACGCGUGAAGUUGACCGCCUGGGGAGUACGGUCGCAAGAUUAAAACUCAAAUGAAUUGACGGGGUCAUGCUGUUUUCU
RNAcentral lists this ribosomal RNA (583 nucleotides) under uncultured bacterium. RNAcentral's name for it is "partial 16S ribosomal RNA". It matches the Rfam family "Bacterial small subunit ribosomal RNA", at positions 355 to 932 of the family's 1533-position model. The record is from RNAcentral.